AUUGAACGCUGGCGGCAUGCUUUACACAUGCAAGUCGAACGGUAACAGGUCUUCGGAUGCUGACGAGUGGCGAACGGGUGAGUAAUAUAUCGGAACGUACCUUUCAGUGGGGGAUAACGUAGCGAAAGUUACGCUAAUACCGCAUAUUCUGUGAGCAGGAAAGCAGGGGAUCGCAAGACCUUGCGCUGAUUGAGCGGCCGAUAUCAGAUUAGCUAGUUGGUGAGAUAAAGGCUCACCAAGGCGACGAUCUGUAGCGGGUCUGAGAGGAUGAUCCGCCACACUGGAACUGAGACACGGUCCAGACUCCUACGGGAGGCAGCAGUGGGGAAUUUUGGACAAUGGGCGCAAGCCUGAUCCAGCCAUGCCGCGUGAGUGAAGAAGGCCUCGGUUGUAAGA
RNAcentral lists this ribosomal RNA (396 nucleotides) under uncultured bacterium. Its description in RNAcentral is "bacterial SSU rRNA". It matches the Rfam family "Bacterial small subunit ribosomal RNA", at positions 30 to 430 of the family's 1533-position model. The record is from RNAcentral.